Molecule: long non-coding RNA, 1532 nt
Filed under: Capsicum annuum
Lineage: Eukaryota; Viridiplantae; Streptophyta; Magnoliopsida; Solanales; Solanaceae
Description: long non-coding RNA (CANN_LNC010967)
Source: RNAcentral
UACGUUAAUGAGACAUGUAGCUGAAGAUCACAAAAGAGAGUUAAAUAUUGCACAAGGUGGUGGGGAUGUUGGUGAGCCAACGCAAACUAGAAUGGACCCAACAACCGGUCACGUAGCGAAGAAGUAUAAUAAAUUGAGGGACCGGGAAGAAAUAGCUAAAAUGGUAGCUGUGGGUUAUUUGCCUUUUAGCUUUCCUUCUUCUGAUGUCUUUAUUCGUUAUAUACAAGAAAUUUAUAAUCCUAUGUUUUACGGUAUUCCUAGAACUACUUGUCGGUAUGAUAUUUUUAGACUUCAUUCACAAUAUUGUUUUUAUUUAUCAACAUUGUUAAAAAAUAUUCAAUGUAGAUUGUCCCUAACUUCUGAUCUUGGUCGUGCUGUAAAUAAAAAUGGUUAUUUAACCGUUACUUGUCAUUGGAUGAAUAGUAAUUUCGUGAUGCAAAAACGUAUUCUUGCUUUUUUAUAUGAUGAAGAUCGUAAACAUACUGGACAAUUUAUUGCUGAUUCUAUUGUUAAAAUUGUCAAAUAUUAUGUUAUCGAAAAUAAAAUUUUAUGUAUUGCUUUUGAUAAUGCUUCUAACAACAAGACUGCUAUAAAGAACUAAAAUCUACGCUAUCUCCGCUCGUGCCUGAAAUUUUUCAUAUUAAGUGUGCAUGUCAUAUAUAUAAUUUAAUUGUAAAAGAUGGUCUUGAGUUUUUUGAGUUUUAUAUUGAAAAAAUUUGUCUUGCCGUUGAUUUUAUUCAAGGAAAUAAUCGUAGAUCGAGAAUUAGAGAAUUUAAAGUUAAAUGUCAAGAAAAUGGACUUACACCGAUUUUGAUGCCUGAGGAAAUUGAUACUAGACAGAAUUCUACGUAUGAAUUUUUAAAAACUUGUUAUAAAUAUAGAAUUCCUAUUACACUAGCUUUUAACCAACAUUGCGGUUCAUUUACUGAUUCUGCUGAUUGCAUGCUANNNNNNNNNNNNNNNNNNNNNNNNNNNNNNNNNNNNNNNNNNNNNNNNNNNUUUAUGUAGCUACGGUUGAAUUUUUCGGUGCUUAUUAUCCUACUGUUUGUAAUAUUUUGACAUAUAUAGCCGAUAUUUCUGGUUUACUUAAAGAAUAUAAAAAUAAAGAAGGUUAUAAAGAAGCUGUUGGAGCCAUAUUUACAAAAUUUAAAAAAUAUUUUUUCCCGAUUCCUCCUAUUUACUUGCUUGGUGCUAUGCUAAAUCCAUGCAUGAAAUAUAAUAAUAUGUGCUACUUUAGUACUCUUAUUUAUACUAACUUAGAAAUAAAUACUAACCAUGAUUCUGAACAAGUACAACCUGAUUUGUGGAAGGCUACGGCUGAUGCAAAGGAUUACAUAGAAAAAUUAUAUAAUCACUAUGCUGAUUUAUUUGAUUUAGCCGUACCUACAAAUAUCACUCCAACUGUCGCUCCUCAUCCUCCCGAGGAGACAUCAUCUUUUAAAAGGCCGACACAUAGUGGUUUUUCUGAUUCGUUUUAUGAUUUAAAUUGUUGGAACAGUGUUGAUGAGAGAACUUACACAUCAACUUAUCGG